AAAGUGAUCACCGCCCUCAUAAAUCCGAUUAUUUUUCUUGAUUGAUUAGCGAAAAAAAAAAAAAAAAAAAAAAAAAAAAAAAAAAAAAAAAAAAAAAAGAAGAAGAAGAAGAAGAAGAAGAAGUUAGUUCUGGAUAAAAGACUAAGGCUCGUGAAUUGGGUUGCCAGAAAAGUCCUCCUUUUGUUCUAUUUGUCGGGUAUUCGUCUUGGUGAGCUAUUAUUAUUAUUGCAGAGCACAAGAAGUGAAAGGUGAGGGAAUCUUCUUCUUCUUCUUCUUUUUCCUUGGGUUUUCUCGGCUACCAAACGCAACAUGAUCAAGAGACGUUUUGAAUUUAAAGUUCUGCUCUUUGUGCAGGAAGGUUUCAUCUUUAAUUCAUUGUUUAUGUUUUAUUGUUUGUUUGGUAAUGUAUUAGGAUGCUCUCUAAUUAAAAAUUAAAAUUGUAUGACUCUGAAAUCUUUGUUUCUCAAUAGUUGAAGUGGGUUAUCGAUGUUGAGCUUAUGUAUCGGGUUAAUUGUGUGAUUGGUUUUUCUGUUUUGAGCUCUGAGAGAUUGCUUUGAUUUAAUGGUUAUCUCAAAUAAGAGCAAAGGGGUUCUCAUAUUAUAGCAUUAAAAUAAAACACUGCCUUUUCCAAUGUUAUGUUUUGAGCGAUCCUUAAGAAACACAGAAAUAUGACUUAUGAGUGUUUUAAUUUUUUGGAUAGAGUUUUAACCUAUGACAUCUGUGAUUCUUGCUCUUUAUCAUUAGACAAAACCACCAAUCGGUUUUUGGUGCAAUCGGGAAUUGAACCUCAAAUCUUUUAUUCAACCAUUAGAUCUCUUAUGAGUGUUAUGUUAGGUGGAUUGGCACCAGGCAGUUUGUACUUAGGAGCAUUCAUAUGAACUUUGGGGCAAAAAACAUGGACUAAUUUAUGGUUUUAUGACGAUGAGUAAUGAUGUUAUUCAUUUGUCCUCUCUCUUUUUUAUUCGAAAGAUUACACACGCAUGAAUUUGAUAAUACUACUUUUUUGAUAAUAACUGAUGGUACACUACUCCUUCAGCUUCAGACUUAUAAGGCAGCAAGUAGGGGGAGUAACUUUCGAUGUGGGAUUGCAAAAGUUUCCCAGGGAGUACAAACAAAAUAGUUUCCCUGGGACAACAAAAAAGUAGCCCACAGUCAGUAUUUUAACUCUUAAUUUACUUGAUAAAUUUUAUAUGUUUCUUGUCAUUGCAUGAAUUCUACUCUAGCAUACUGCUAUUUUUGCAGGUUGUUGUUCCACAACAAUCUAGAUGCUAAUGUUGACUACAAAUACUGUUGCCACCUUGCCUCAGUUACCACUAGUGAAAAUAGAGGGUCAAUGCAUGGGGCAGAAUAUGCAUACUAGAUCUAAUCUUGUGAAACUUUUCAUGUCAUUUCGGUACUUCAAUGGAAAAAGGAGGUCACUUAAGAUUGCUGAACCUGGAUGGCUAGGUAUUGGUGCCCAAUUUUUUACUCUUAAUAAUAGAAGACGUAUCUUGCAUUCUAGCCAUAUACAGUCUGCUUCUGAUAUAUGUCAUUUCGCUUGAAUGCAAGAUGCGCUGCUGAGCAAACUCAAACUUUUACACGCAUGGCUCCAACAAUUACUCACAUUCCCAGUAAUAGCUAUUUCCGUGUAUCGAUCAUUAGUCAAACUACAUUUAAUAUUAAAGGAAUCGCUUUGGCUAGCCAGACCCAGAACUGCCUGCCUUAUGUCAUUGGUGGGUGUGAGUAGCUUGUCUGCAGUGGCAUAGCAAUACCCUGUAUCAUUGGUUGCUCUGAAUUCAUACAGUUGAAAUUUCAAAGUUGUCUCCUUUACUGCUUUUUUAUUUGCUAAAAUGGAGUCUUGGUACUCGUAAUAGGUAUUUUUCUUGGCUCCUUGGUAUAAAUGUUGCUUCAAGGAUCCUUUGUGGGAUUCAUCAAAUGGUAGUUGUAUUGCUCUGUUCAGUUUAAUAAAUGCCAGCUGAGUUCUUUUUGAAGUUGGAUUAGUUUUAGGAACCAAGUCAUAAUUUGGUCUGUCCUUGGUAUCCAACGUCUGUCGCCAAUUGCUUAAUCAAAGCAUUGUAUUUCCUUUUUUGUGUAAUCCUUUUUAUGGGUUUAUGGUAUGGGGUGGUUACAUACAUUUUCAUUUGUUGAUACAUAUAAAUGCAUGUUCACUUGUGCAUUCUUUCUGAAAUUCUGUGAGAUUCGAUAUUUCAAAUGGCAUAUAAUGGUUAAACUGAAAUUUCAAAAGGAUUUCAGUGGCGAUGGUCAUGGUGAUGGUUGUGGUGGAGGUAACUGGUCAAGUGGAUUAAUUAAUUCUUUAAGGAUAAGGAAAGUGAGAUGCCUUAUAGUUACAAGAGGAGAAAAUGAAAGAAUGAUCGAUUUAUAUAUAUAACAAAUUAGAUAACUGGUACUAAUAACGUUCUUUGUACGGAUUGGGGAAUGUCCUCAAUUGUUUUGUUCAGAUCUGGAAACCAGAUACAUCAUCCACAAGAGCCUCUACUACCAGAGACAUAAGACUCUCUUUUCAAGCUAUAGUAUCUAAGAACCUUAGCAUACAAUGUUGUCAAAUUUUGUUCCAUAUUUCUAAUGUGGAAUUUUCCAUUUUUCUUUUGUGGGAGAGAAGAAAUCAUUAUAGGAGUCUGUUUCCUUCCUCGGAACUUUUAAUUUUCAGGUUGCAACAGACAAAAUAUGAAUGAAAAUGUGGAGAAAGGGCCUCCAAAGAUCAACCUAAAGCAGAUGGAUUGGAUGAUAAAGAGAGCAGAAUUUAGUUUGGUUGAUUUAAAGCACUCUCAUUUACUUGUGUCACAAAAUUCACAAGGGAGCUAAGGCAAAGUGUAAGGUGGAAGAACUGUCUUUGCUUGCCGACAACACAUGUGAGGUCCUUCCGUUGUCAACACCAUCAGAAUUCUAGCCUGCCCCGUGGAGGUACCAUUGGUACCAACCUCUCUGCAUCAGUGACUCACUCCAAGCUCAGUUGCUCUCUCUUUCACAUGGGGAUUAAACCAAUGGCACAGUUGUUUUAUAUUCAUAAUUCUCCUAUUUUUUACUAUGAGAAUGUACUCACAUGUGAAUUUCUUUCAUCUUCUAAUCAAUUGAUAUUCUCAUCAAUU
This is a long non-coding RNA of Quercus robur (English oak), 3086 nucleotides long. RefSeq lists it as uncharacterized. The record is from RefSeq and is a predicted model, not a curated record. NCBI's taxonomy places the organism in Eukaryota, Viridiplantae, Streptophyta, Magnoliopsida, Fagales, Fagaceae. The transcript is spliced from 4 exons.